This 273-nucleotide ribosomal RNA is filed under the name uncultured bacterium. Its description in RNAcentral is "partial 16S ribosomal RNA". It matches the Rfam family "Bacterial small subunit ribosomal RNA", at positions 523 to 796 of the family's 1533-position model. The record is from RNAcentral.
AGACGUAGGGGGCAAGCGUUGCUCGGAAUCACUGGGCUUAAAGGGCGCGUAGGCGGUUAUGUAAGUCUGAGGUUGAAGACCCCGGCUCAUCCGGGGGAGGCCUUAGAAACUGCAUAACUUGAGCGAGCGAGGGGAGGGCGGAAUUCCCGGUGUAGCGGUGAAAUGCGUAGAUAUCGGGAGGAAGGCCUGUGGCGAAGGCGGCCCUCUGGCGCUUAGCUGACGCUGUGGCGCGAAAGCGUGGGGAGCAAACAGGAUUAGAAACCCUAGUAGUCC